This 21-nucleotide unclassified non-coding RNA is filed under the name Mus musculus (house mouse). RNAcentral describes it as "oocyte_clustered_small_RNA8959". Lineage: Eukaryota; Metazoa; Chordata; Mammalia; Rodentia; Muridae. The record is from RNAcentral.
UCACAACAGCCGGGAUCCCUU